AUUAAUCAACCCCUGUGUGUUUCAAUGGCAUAGGCUUAAAGCCCUCUCUCUGCAGGGUGAUGGGCUGCAGGCUUCCUAAGCUGCGGAGGGAGGGGGAGGAGAGGAGUCCCGUAAAGAUUUUUUCCACCCUCCGACGGCCACAGGUGGAGACCAAGGUGGGCGUGGCCUACACCUACCACUUCCUGGACUUCCUGUUAGGGAAAGAAGGUUGCUGAGGCACUCUUCCAGCAGGUCUUCAGGCAUUAUGGCAAUCUGGAGGACAUCGUCUCCGGCUGUGGCCACCAAUUCACAUCACAAGUAUGGAGGGCCUUCAUGGAGAAGCUCGGCG
RNAcentral lists this long non-coding RNA (328 nucleotides) under Salmo salar (Atlantic salmon). Its description in RNAcentral is "lncRNA (ENSSSAG00000106341.1)". The record is from RNAcentral. Lineage: Eukaryota; Metazoa; Chordata; Actinopteri; Salmoniformes; Salmonidae.